UAAAAAGCAGAGAACGAAAAGAGUAGCAGCGGCAGAAACUUUCCAGAGAGAGACGGUCACCGGCUGAGAGCGGUCUUAAGCGGAGCGGUUGUGAAGUGCAUUCGGGAGCUGACUUUGUGAGAGCAGAAUAAAAGUAAUCCGGAACAGGAAAGGAUCAAAAAGUCCUGCUGCCAGCAAAGUACGUUUGGCGGACGUUACACGCCGUGAGUGAAAGGAUUGUUUUAAUUCUUUUAAUAGAGUGGAACCGCGGAUAAACUUCGUCUCUUAG
RNAcentral lists this non-coding RNA (268 nucleotides) under Lachnospiraceae bacterium. Its description in RNAcentral is "T-box sequence". It matches the Rfam family "T-box leader". Rfam says of the family: Uncharged tRNA acts as the effector for transcription antitermination of genes in the T-box leader family. The record is from RNAcentral. Lineage: Bacteria; Bacillati; Bacillota; Clostridia; Lachnospirales; Lachnospiraceae.